This 490-nucleotide ribosomal RNA is filed under the name uncultured microorganism. RNAcentral describes it as "bacterial SSU rRNA". It matches the Rfam family "Bacterial small subunit ribosomal RNA", at positions 9 to 462 of the family's 1533-position model. The record is from RNAcentral.
GAGUUUGAUCGUGGCUCAGGAUGAACGCCGGCGGUGUGCCUAAUACAUGCAAGUCGUACGCACUGGCCCAACUGAUUGAUGGUGCUUGCACCUGAUUGACGAUGGAUCACCAGUGAGUGGCGGACGGGUGAGUAACACGUAGGUAACCUGCCCCGGAGCGGGGGAUAACAUUUGGAAACAGAUGCUAAUACCGCAUAACAACAAAGGCCACAUGGCUUUUGUUUGAAAGAUGGCUUUGGCCAUCACUCUGGGAUGGACCUGCGGUGCAUUAGCUAGCUGGUAAGGUAACGGCUUACCAAGGCGAUGAUGCAUAGCCGAGUUGAGGGACUGAUCGGCCACAAUGGAACUGAGACACGGUCCAUACUCCUACGGGAGGCAGCAGUAGGGAAUCUUCCACAAUGGGCGCAAGCCUGAUGGAGCAACACCGCGUGAGUGAAGAAGGGUUUCGGCUCGUAAAGCUCUGUUGUUGGAGAAGAACGUGCGUGAGAGU